GAUUAACGCUAGCGGCAGGCCUAAUACAUGCAAGUCGAACGGUAACAGGUGUAGCAAUACAUGCUGACGAGUGGCGCACGGGUGCGUAACACGUAUGCAACCUACCUAUAACUGGGGAAUAGCCUUCCGAAAGGAAGAUUAACACCGCAUAACAUCACGAAACGGCAUCGUUUUGUGAUCAAACCUCCGGGGGUUAUAGAUGGGCAUGCGUAACAUUAGCUAGUUGGUGAGGUAAUGGCUCACCAAGGCUACGAUGUUUAGGGGGUCUGAGAGGAUGAUCCCCCAAACUGGUACUGCGACACGGAGCAGACUCCUACGGGAGGCAGCAGUAAGGAAUAAUGGGAAGUGGGGGCAACCCUGAUCCAGCAAUGCCGCGUGAAGGAUGAAGGCCCUCUGGGUUGUAAACUUCUUUUGUACGGGAAUAAACCCCUUUACGUGUAGAGGGUUGAAUGUACCGUAAGAAUAAGGAUCGGCUAACUUCGUGCCAGCCGCCGCGGUAA
Molecule: ribosomal RNA, 500 nt
Filed under: uncultured bacterium
Lineage: Bacteria
Description: partial 16S ribosomal RNA
Rfam family: Bacterial small subunit ribosomal RNA
Source: RNAcentral